AUGCAAGUCGUACGAGAACACUCUAGCUUGCUAGGGUAAGUAAAGUGGCGCACGGGUGAGUAACGCGUGGGUAAUCUACCUUCGAAUUGGGGAUAACGUUGCGAAAGCGACGCUAAUACCGAAUAAUAUCUAAUAUUCCUUGGAAUGUUGGAUCAAGGGUGGCCUCUACAUGUAAGCUACUGUUUGNAGAUGAGCCCGCGUACCAUUAGCUUGUUGGUGGGGUAAUGGCCUACCAAGGCGACGAUGGUUAGCUGGUCUGAGAGGAUGAUCAGCCACACUGGAACUGACACACGGUCCAGACUCCUACGGGAGGCAGCAGUGAGGAAUUUUGCGCAAUGGGCGAAAGCCUGACGCAGCANCNCCNCGUGAGUGAUGNAGGCUUUCGGGUCGUAAANCUCUNUCAAGUGGGNAGAACCUAUAUAAUGUUAAUACCAUUAUAUAUUGACGGUACCACUGAAGGNAGCACCGNCUAACUCCGUNCCANCAGCCGCGGUAAUACGGGGGUUGCAANCGUUAUUCGGAAUCAUUGGGCGUAAAGAGCACGUAGNCGCCCUGGUAAGUCAGAUGUGAAAGCCCGGGGCUUAACCUCGGAAGUGCAUUUGAUACUNCCAGGCUUGAGUAUGGGAGAGGGAAGUGGAAUUCCUGGUGUAGAGGUGAAAUUCGUAGAUAUCAGGAGGAACACCGGUGGCGAAGGCGACUUCCUGGACCAAUACUGACGCUGAGGUGCGAAGGCGUGGGUACCANACAGGAUUAGAUACCCUGGUAG
Molecule: ribosomal RNA, 766 nt
Filed under: unidentified sulfate-reducing bacterium 4D19
Lineage: Bacteria; Deltaproteobacteria
Description: partial 16S ribosomal RNA
Rfam family: Bacterial small subunit ribosomal RNA
Source: RNAcentral